RNAcentral lists this long non-coding RNA (1126 nucleotides) under Capsicum annuum. RNAcentral describes it as "long non-coding RNA (CANN_LNC017555)". Lineage: Eukaryota; Viridiplantae; Streptophyta; Magnoliopsida; Solanales; Solanaceae. The record is from RNAcentral.
UCAUCCGAUAUGUAACUGAAUUCUAUAACUCGAUUAGCUUGACUUUAGAAUGAACAAAGAGGGAAAUAAAAUAGUCCUACAGUGGACCAAGAAAAUAGAAUAGUGCUACAGUGAAGCCAAAGAGAAAACAAACUAUUACUGCGGCUUGAAAAAGGGCAGGUAUUUCAAUUUUCCAAUUUUUACUUAUAUGUUUUGUUGUAUUGUAAAGAUAAUACAUGAACUGAAGCAUAAUUCAAAAUAAAAUUAUAUCUCAGGACCAAUAUUCUCCCCACAGAACUGCAUUUUCAUAUUGUCUAUUAGAUAAAUGGCUUAUAAGGUUGAAGGAUCUAUUUAUAUGAAUUGAUCAUCAAAGGCUGACAAGAUUCAUUUCUUCAGUGGACUGGUACACUGUGCAUCUAAAGAUGUUGAGAUCAAAAAAUGUUUGUACAACAAUUCUUCUAAAAGUUUAGUCAUUCAUCAAUAAUUUAAGGUUAAAACACCCAUAUACAAGCAGCAACAACAACAACAACAAGCUCAGGCACGAUAACAACUUAACAACUCAGCCACAACUACUACACCUUCAAAGCAUGAAUCAAAGUAAUAGAUUUUGGGAAUAUCCAAUCUUCGUAUAGUAAAAGAGUAGGUAUACCACCACCUCACUCGCGAGUGCCUCCUAUUUCACCAUAUUCUCAGAUCCUUUUAAUCAGGCCAUGGAAUCAGCAAAUAGGUAUGCAGAAUUUUAGCAGUCCAGGGCAAUCACAUUUGCGAUCUUUAUAACAACCAGCUAUUCUUUUUUGAAGAAAUAGUUUGAUACACAAAACUGAUACAAUGUGAUUUAUAGUUGGAAACCAUCUAAUCAAUGUGUGUGGUUGCAUCCUUUGCUGUUUUUGCGAAACUCGACUUUCAUUCGUCAAGCAUUACAUUUCUAAUGUAAGGAUUCUCACACUCUUUUAUAGCCCAAUUUAGUGUAUAUUUUGAUGAUAUUGUUACUCAUGUCAUAAAGAGGAUAUGUAACAUUCAAUGCCUUAAUUUCACUUGAUUAAGAGCCGAACAACUUAUUAUAUUCCUUUUACUGUCUAGGCAGAGGACUUAGUGUAUGGAGGGUACUUUAAUGAAAUGGAUGUCUCGUGCAAUUUCAAAAAUUGGG